AUUCUGUCUUUGCAGGAACAAUGUUUCCAGACCAAAGUGACUUUGACUACGGUAAGACUCAGUAAUAAUUUUUUUGGAUUAAAGUUAAGUUCAUCAUCAGCUUCUGAGGAACGUCCGUGUGGUAAACUCCCAAUGAUUUUGUCCCCCUGUAGAUUAUGAGACGUUGCGGACCACAGGGAUGGUCCUCGCUAUUGUCAUGUUUGUCUCUGGCAUUUUAAUAGCCCUGAGUAAGUUCAGACUUUAAUUAAGAUAUCUCUCUAAUUCAGAGGCUUUAAUCAAAUUUCUAACUCGUCUAUCAUUCCUCAAACAGGUAAAAAAUUCACUAAAUGUGUAAAACCCUCAUCCAAGUAAGACAUGUGGAUGACCCGCCUGUGCAUGCUGUAUGACUCUGACUUGAAGGGGGAAACACAACCGGUGUGCUCAUGUGACUAAUGCUGAGUUUCUCACAGCUUUUCCUCUCCCCUCCCCUGCCCUGGAUGCAUCUUCUCUUAAUGUCCAUUCCCCCCUUGUUCUGCAAACACACAACCCUGAAACACACCUUAACGAUCAAACACAACUACACAUAACAAGCCACACGUGGGCAGUGCUUUCACAUUCCCCAAAACUCGGUGGUUGUUCUUGAAAAAGCAUUUGAGUCAAAGGUAUGCGUCAUUCUGCUCAUGUGUUGGGAGUGAGUGUGUGGCCGUGGGUUUUCACGGGCUGGUCGCAUGCUGCUUGAAUGGCCAGAGAGGAGGAGCACCUAGCUGCUGUUUGAGCAGGAUGACAAAUAAAAACUGGAUAUUGAUUUAUGGUUAUUGAAAGCCUGACUCAGAAUCCUGUGGCUUCGACUGACUCAUGAAAUCUUGGUGAGGGAGAAACUUGAUUAAAUGCAACUCGCCCGAGUUGAAGUUGUGGCCACAGGCUUCAGACUGCAGAGCCAGUGAUUGAUUAUCAGAUAGAAGAUGAAAUUGAAAAUAGGAAUCUUUACUUAUUUUUCUUAUUUGUAAUUUCAGCUCCAGCUCGUCUGGGACCCAGAUUCCAAAGACAGAGGUUCCUCCUCAAACUGUUUAGACUUCAGACUCUCCGACCUGAAAGAGAGAAAGCAUGCCAGCAAACACACAAAAACACACACACACACUCACUCUCUCUCUCUCUCACACACACACACACACACACACACAUAAACACACAUGUUGUCAACUUGUCAGCUGGAUGAUCAAUAAACAGGGUUUUCUGAUGCUUCCUCUUUGAACCAGUGGUGGUAUCUGACGAACAGCUCCUCCCACAGCUUCUCCUCUCCCUGCCCUGGAUGCCUCCUCUCUUAAUGCUGCAGAAAUGUACAAAACAACUUUUUGUAUACUUUGCUCAGUGUUGUGUGAUUGUUGGUACUAUAAGCAGUAGAGACAUGAAUAUAUGCACAAACAAAAGCUCAUAUGCAUAUUCAGAAAGACAGAAGCAACAAGUAUUGUCUCUAUUCCUGACAGUCAAAUAAAGAGCAUGAAUAUAUAUAUAUAAAUAUAUAUAGACUUGGCCAUUUUGUAUCAAUGACCCAUGAACUGCAUGCUUCAGUAAAUUGUAACAAUUGUCUAUUACCUUUAUUUUCCCUAAUUUUUCCUUUAUUUCUGUUGAUAUCUUUUUCCAGAAAAGCAUUAAUUAAUGAUAGAAUGAAGAAACAAAUCACAGGAAUAAAUCAAAAGUUGUCAAAUUACCCAGCUAAAAUGAAGCAGCGGCCAUAAUAACUUAUCAAGAUUGAAGAUCAAUGUAUUAUUUGAAAGAUCUUUGAAAAAUAUAAAAGAAAAUGUGUAUUUAAAAUGUUUGUUUUUAUGUUUUAGUAUUAGCAGUUUGUUUUUAUUUCGAGUAAAAAGGAAUUAAGGAAUGAGAAAUUGAAGCCAAUACAAUGAGACCAGUGUUUCAAAUAAAGCUCUUGUCUACUCAA
Pleuronectes platessa (European plaice) is the source of this 1915-nucleotide long non-coding RNA. RefSeq lists it as uncharacterized. Lineage: Eukaryota; Metazoa; Chordata; Actinopteri; Pleuronectiformes; Pleuronectidae. The record is from RefSeq and is a predicted model, not a curated record. The transcript is spliced from 2 exons.